AGAGCACAGGGUGGAUGCCCAGGCACCAAACGCCGAUGAAAGACGUGGCAAGCUGCGAAAAGUCACGGGGAACCGCAAGCAGGUAUUGAUCCGUGAACGUCUGAAUGGGGAAACCCGGCGGGUUAACAGCCCGUCACUAUUAACUGAAUCAAUAGGUUAAUAGGGGGAACGCGGGGAACUGAAACAUCUCAGUACCCGUAGGAAGAGAAAAUAAAGAAUGAUUUCCUAAGUAGCGGCGAGCGAACGGGAAAGAGGCCAAACCGAAGGGCUUGCUCUUCGGGGUUGUGGAUCAGCGAUAAGGACGGAAGACCUUAGCAGAAGAGGAUUGGAAAGUCCCGCCAGAGAGGGUAAAAGCCCCUUAUGCGAAAAGGUCAAACGACGAGCUGACACCAGAGUACCGCAGGACACGAGAAAUCCGGUGGGAAGCCGGGAGGACCACCUCCCAAGCCUAAAUACGAAUUGGUGACCGAUAGCGCAUAGUACCGUGAGGGAAAGGUGAAAAGAACCCCGGGAGGGGAGUGAAAAAGAACCUGAAACCCUAUGUUUACAAGCAGAUAGAGCACGUUAAGGUGCGAUAUCGUACUUUUUGUAGAACGGUCCGGCGAGUUAUUUUAUAUGGCAAGAUUAAGUACUUAAGGUACGAAGUCGAAGAGAAAUCGAGUCUGAAAAGGGCGAAAAAGUCAUAUGAAAUAGACCCGAAACCGAGUGACCUAUCCAUGGUCAGGAUGAAGCUUGAGUAAAAUCAAGUGGAGGUCCGAACUCAUAAGCGUUAAAAAGCUUCGGGAUGAACUGUGGAUAGCGGAGAAAUUCCAAUCGAACUCGGAGAUAGCUGGUUCUCCUCGAAAUAGUUUUAGGACUAGCCUUGUUAAGUAGUAUAUGGGGGUAGAGCACUGAAGGAGCUAGGGGCCAAACCAGGUUACUGAACUCUAUCAAACUCCGAAUACCAUAUACGUAAAAACAGGAGUCAGACUGCGGGAGCUAAGUUCCGUGGUCAAAAGGGAAAGAGCCCAGAUCGUCAAUUAAGGUCCCAAAGAUAUAGUUAAGUGGAAAACGAUGUGAUUUUGCGUAAACAACCAGGAUGUUGGCUUAGAAGCAGCCAUUCAUUUAAAGAGUGCGUAAUAGCUCACUGGUCGAGUGAAGUUGCGCGGAAAAUUACCGGGGCUAAACUAUACACCGAAAUUGCGGAUUCAUGAGUAAUCAUGAGUGGUAGAGGAGCAUUCUGUUGUAGGAAGAAGUGUGAUCGAAAGGACAUGUGGACGAAGCAGAAGAGAGAAUGCCGGAAUAAGUAGCGAAAGCAUGGUGAGAAUCCAUGCCAUCGAAAGUCUAAGGUUUCCUGGGGAAGGUUCGUCCGCCCAGGGUAAGUCGGGACCUAAGGUGAGGCCGAAAGGCGUAGCCGAUGGACAGCAGGUAGAAAUUCCUGCACUACCGAAAUACUUAAAAGAUGCAAGGGACACAGGAGUGGAAGGAAAGCGAGGAAGAGGAAAGACUCGUAUCGAAAGAUAUAGUGAAAAUUAAAGUAACGAAUUUCCAAGAAGCACACUGGCGAGAAAAGCUUGUAGAUAUUGUAUAGAGGUACCCGUACCGCAAACCGACACAGGUAGAUGAGGAGAGGAUCCUAAGAUGAGCGAGAGAAGCAUUGUUAAGGAACUCGGCAAACCAACCCCGUAACUUAGGGAGAAGGGGUGCCUAUGUAAAAAUAGGCCGCAGAGAAGAGGCCCAAGCAACUGUUUAACAAAAACACAGGUUUCUGCUAAAUCAAAAGAUGAAGUAUAGGAGCUGACGCCUGCCCAGUGCUGGAAGGUUAAGGGAAAAUGUAAGUACAGAAGUAUGAAGCAUAGAACCAAAGCCCCAGUGAACGGCGGCCGUAACUAUAACGGUCCUAAGGUAGCGAAAUUCCUUGUCAGGUAAGUUCUGACCCGCACGAAAGGCGUAAUGAUUUGGGCGCUGUCUCGACAAUGUACUCGGCGAAAUUGUAGUACUAGUGAAGAUGCUAGUUACCUGCGACAAGACAGAAAGACCCCAUGGAGCUUUACUGUAGCUUGAUACUGGGUUUCGAUAAUUUAUGUACAGGAUAGGUGGGAUGCAAAGAAGCAAGUGCGCCAGCAUUUGUGGAGCAGACGUUGGGAUACCACCCUUAAGUUAUUGGAAUUCUAACCUGUAGUCAUGAACUGGCUAGGGGACAAUGUCAGGCGGGCAGUUUGACUGGGGCGGUCGCCUCCAAAAGAGUAACGGAGGCGCGCAAAGGUUUCCUCAGCGCGGACAGAAAUCGCGCAAGAGAGUGCAAAGGCAGAAGGAAGCUUAACUGAGAGACUGACAAGUCGACCAGAUACGAAAGUAGGUCUUAGUGAUCCGGCGGUAGUGAGUGGAAAUGCCGUCGCUCAACGGACAAAAGUUACCCUGGGGAUAACAGGCUUAUCUCCCCCAAGAGUUCACAUCGACGGGGAGGUU
This 2448-nucleotide ribosomal RNA is filed under the name human gut metagenome. RNAcentral's name for it is "bacterial LSU rRNA". It matches the Rfam family "Bacterial large subunit ribosomal RNA", at positions 14 to 2518 of the family's 2925-position model. The record is from RNAcentral.